CGGGCAGGCGGGUGCCCAAGUCGGACGUGAAAGCUCCUGGCUCAACCGGGAGAGGCCGUUCGAGACUGGGCGUCUGGAGGGCAGUAGAGGGGCGUAGAAUUCCGGGUGGAGUGGUGAAAUGCGUAGAGAUCCGGAGGAAUACCAGAGGCGAAGGCGGCGCCCUGGGCUGCACCUGACGCUGAGCCGCGAAAGCAUGGGGAGCGAACG
Molecule: ribosomal RNA, 207 nt
Filed under: uncultured bacterium
Lineage: Bacteria
Description: partial 16S ribosomal RNA
Rfam family: Bacterial small subunit ribosomal RNA
Source: RNAcentral